GUACUCGGUUCAGCAGCACAUAUACUAAAACUGGAAUGACACAGAGAAGAUUAGCAUGGCCCCAGCACAAGGAUGACAUGUGAAUUCGUGAAGCUUUCCAUAUUUUU
RNAcentral lists this small nuclear RNA (107 nucleotides) under Procavia capensis (Cape rock hyrax). The record is from RNAcentral. Lineage: Eukaryota; Metazoa; Chordata; Mammalia; Hyracoidea; Procaviidae.